UGACAACCCCCCAUCCAGAGGAGAGUGAAAUUGCUCUCUACGAUUUGGACAGGUCAUGAAAAGCUAUCUCUAGAAAUUUUUGAAACCUUAUAUUUCAUUUCAAAAAUGAGUGCGAUUUUGCAUUUCUACCGCAAAAUAUAUCUCAGCCACAUACCGUUGGACCUAAUGUGACCAGCUGGCCCCAGGUGUGUCCAGACACACAACUUUGGACAUAUUAGGAGAAAUGAUCAGACUUCAGAAGGCCAAACCCAGCCCCUCCUGCUCUUGUGGCCGUGUCUCUUCCAGGUUUCUUGCCCUCUGUUUUUCUGGAACCCUGAGGGAUUUUACACAUGUUCCCUAAUGCUCCAUUCUCACAAGCCCGGGGUCCUCUCACCCCCUCUCACCCCUAAGUUUGUCCCUAAGUUCACUGAGUCAACAGCCUCGCAUGGGGGCAGGGUCCAGACAGCACCUCUUUCUCUUCCUGCAUUUCUUCAGGAGCCAGAAAGGGAUGGGGGUGUCUCUCCUAAAUUGUAUCAAUGUCUGGCAGCUCCGUAAGCCCUGUGUUCUGUCAUCUCAGGUCACUCUGCUGGCCUUGGGCCCCUCUCUGUCCUGCUGACCAUUCUGGUCUGGGCCCUGGGGAAAGGGCUUUCCUUUGUUGUGUCACAGAAGAGCUCCCAGCAGAGCGCAGCUUUCGCGUCUCUCCUGCAUAUCUCGGCCCUCUGCUUCCAGCAGGCAGGCUCUCCCGGACUCAGGGACUCCAUGGUCCUCCACAGCCUGGCUGUCGUCAGGGUCUCCGCUCUUUAGAGUCAAGAGCAUUGCUGGCUGGAGACAAGAGAUGGCGCUGUGAGCCCAACGGAAAGAGAAGGCGUGAUUAUUAUAUGUCAGCUAGGUUAGCCCGAUUUAUCUGCAGGAGAGGUUUCACGACCAGCAGCUACAACCAUGGUGACCACUGAAACACACUGUUACAUUCUCUUGGGCUUGGACUAUUUGGAGAACCAACGAUUAUUUUAGCAAGGGAAAAUGGAGCACCAUCUUCCUUCUGGAGAAUCUUUGAUGGGUGGGACACCUGCUGUACAGCCAACAAAUCCAAAAGUCUCUCCGUGAACAAGGGAAAUUAACAACAACGUCUGCCACCGCAUUGGCUGUGAGCACUUGAAAUCUUGGCUGGUGAUUUGCUGCAAUAAGUGCAGGCCUGGGAAAAGGCUGGCACUACCAGCUAGCUUUGACAACCUGCCAGCAGCCUCCCUGCUUUGGAAAUUGUAUGACUCUGUGAAUGCUGUCUAACCGUCUGAGCCAUGAAUUCUUGAAGACAGAACAAGCCAAGAAGAAAGGACCAAUUUCAGAAGAAGUGUGAUAGAGUCAAGGUUUUUAGAAACCAAAAGCUUAGUUAUAAAGGAACUGGGGCUCGUCUAGAUAUGAAACAGCAUUCCCAGGGCUUUUUCUAAAACUUCUACUUGUUUUUCUUUAACCAUUAAAAAAAAAGUAAAUAUUGAUAUCUGUCUUGUACCACACGCCUUAUACUAAAAUAAAUCCCAGAAUGAUUUGAGAUUCUAAUGUAAAAAUUAAACCACAUAAGAACCAAAGGAAAAUACAGGAAAAUAAAAAUUAAAGAAAGAAAAACAAAACAAAAAAAUAAAAUGACAAAAAAUACAGUUGACAUAUAAUCUUGAGGCACAAAUGGCUAUUUGAAGACUAAAAGCAAAAAUCAC
Molecule: long non-coding RNA, 1688 nt
Organism: Equus caballus (horse)
Lineage: Eukaryota; Metazoa; Chordata; Mammalia; Perissodactyla; Equidae
Source: Ensembl